UGGGGAAUCUUGCACAAUGGGCGCAAGCCUGAUGCAGCAACGCCGCGUGCGGGAAGACGGCCCUAGGGUUGUAAACCGCUUUCAGGAGGGAAGAAAAUGACGGUACCUCCAGAAGAAGGUGCGGCCAACUACGUGCCAGCAGCCGCGUGACACGUAGGCACCAAGCGUUAUCCGGAUUUAUUGGGCGUAAAGAGCUCGUAGGCGGUUCGGUAAGUCGGGUGUGAAAAUCCAAGGCUCAACCUUGGGACGCCACCCGAUACUGCUGUGACUAGAGUGCGGUAGGGGAGCGGGGAAUUCCUGGUGUAGCGGUGAAAUGCGCAGAUAUCAGGAGGAACACCAGUGGCGAAGGCGCCGCUCUGGGCCGUAACUGACGCUGAGGAGCGAAAGCAUGGGUAGCAAACAGGAUUAGAUACCCUGGUAGUCCAUGCCGUAAACGUUGGGCACUAGGUGUGGGUCUCAACCAACGAGAUCCGCGCCGUCGCUAACGCAUUAAGUGCCCCGCCUGGGGAGUACGGUCGCAAGACUAAAACUCAAAUGAAUU
RNAcentral lists this ribosomal RNA (541 nucleotides) under uncultured bacterium. RNAcentral describes it as "bacterial SSU rRNA". It matches the Rfam family "Bacterial small subunit ribosomal RNA", at positions 355 to 911 of the family's 1533-position model. The record is from RNAcentral.